UGAACUGAAGAGUUUGAUCAUGGCUCAGAUUGAACGCUGGCGGCGGGCUUAACACAUGCAAGUCGAGCGGAAACGAUGAUAGCUUGCUAUCAGGCGUCGAGCGGCGG
Molecule: ribosomal RNA, 107 nt
Filed under: Alcanivorax sp.
Lineage: Bacteria; Pseudomonadati; Pseudomonadota; Gammaproteobacteria; Oceanospirillales; Alcanivoracaceae
Description: partial 16S ribosomal RNA
Rfam family: Bacterial small subunit ribosomal RNA
Source: RNAcentral